GAUGAAGAACGUAGCGAAAUGCGAUAAGUAUGUGAAUUGCAGAAUUCAGUGAAUCAUCGAAUCUUUGAACGCACAUUGCGCCCUUUGGUAUUCCGAAGGGCAUGCCUGUUCGAGCGUCAUUUCACCACUCAAGCCUGGCUUGGUAUUGGGCGCCGCGGUCGAUCCGCGCGCCUCAAAGUCUCCGGCUGAGCUGUCCGUCUCUAAGCGUUGUGAUUUCAUUAAUCGCUUCGGAGUGCGGGCGGCCGCGGCCGUUAAAUCUUUCACAAGAUUGACCUCGGAUCAGGUAGGGAUACCCGCUGAACUUAAGCAUAUCAAUAAGCGGAGGA
RNAcentral lists this unclassified non-coding RNA (326 nucleotides) under soil metagenome. RNAcentral's name for it is "partial contains 5.8S ribosomal RNA, internal transcribed spacer 2, and large subunit ribosomal RNA". The stretch from base 1 to 119 matches the Rfam family "5.8S ribosomal RNA", at positions 35 to 154 of the family's 154-position model. The record is from RNAcentral.